AUUGAACGCUGGCGGCAUGCCUUACACAUGCAAGUCGAACGGCAGCACGGGGCAACCUGGUGGCGAGUGGCGAACGGGUGAGUAAUGCAUCGGAACGUGCCAUUGAGUGGGGGAUAACGUAGCGAAAGUUGCGCUAAUACCGCAUAUUCUGUGAGCAGGAAAGCAGGGGACCGGCAAGGCCUUGCGCUCUUUGAGCGGCCGAUGUCAGAUUAGCUAGUUGGUGAGGUAACGGCUUACCAAGGCGACGAUCUGUAGCGGGUCUGAGAGGAUGAUCCGCCACACUGGAACUGAGACACGGUCCAGACUCCUACGGGAGGCAGCAGUGGGGAAUUUUGGACAAUGGGCGCAAGCCUGAUCCAGCCAUGCCGCGUGAGUGAAGAAGGCCUUCGGUUGUAAAGCUCUUUCGGUCCGGGAACGAAAGUCGCAUGGGUUAAUACCCUUCGUGUGGAGUGACGGUACCGGAAGUAAGAAGCACCGGCUAACUACGU
Molecule: ribosomal RNA, 488 nt
Filed under: uncultured bacterium
Lineage: Bacteria
Description: bacterial SSU rRNA
Rfam family: Bacterial small subunit ribosomal RNA
Source: RNAcentral